Molecule: ribosomal RNA, 778 nt
Filed under: uncultured Neocallimastigales
Lineage: Eukaryota; Fungi; Neocallimastigomycota; Neocallimastigomycetes; Neocallimastigales
Description: partial large subunit ribosomal RNA
Rfam family: Eukaryotic large subunit ribosomal RNA
Source: RNAcentral
AGAGAGAGACAUGCGCGCAUAUCAAUAAGCGGAGGAAAAGAAACUAACUAGGAUUCCCUCAGUAACGGCGAGUGAAGCGGGAAGAGCUCAAAUUUGAAAUCUUCAAGGUUCUACCUUGACGGAUUGUAGUUUAAAGAAGUGUUUUCUGUUGGAGUUUUGGUAAAAGUUCUUUGGAAUAGGACAUCAUAGAGGGUGAGAAUCCCGUAUUUGACCAUUAUUUCCAACUUUGUGAUACACUUUCAAAGAGUCGGAUUGCUUGGGAAUGCAGUCCAAAAUGGGUGGUAAAUUUCAUCUAAAGCUAAAUAUUGGCGAGAGACCGAUAGCGAACAAGUACCGUGAGGGAAAGAUGAAAAGAACUUUGAAAAGAGAGUUAAACAGUACGUGAAAUUGUCAAAAGGGAAGCGUUUGACACCAGUGUUGUUUUCUCGAAAAUCAAUUAAAAAUGGCAGGAUUUUGUGUUGUAUUGACUUUAUCAGCUUUCUGCACUUUUCUCUUGUCUUUUUUAAUGCACUUUUCGUUUAACAAGUCAACAUCAAUUUCUUUUGUUGUAAAAGGGUCAUUGGAAGGUGGCUUUCUUUUCGGAGAAAGUGUUUAUUGCCUUUGGCCUCUGCAAUCGGAGAGAUUGAGGUCUGCAGCGCAGAUCCUUCGGGGUUAGAUGCAUAUUGUGCUAAGUUAUAGCCUUUCAUAGACAACUUGUUGACUAUGUUAUCAGUCAUUGUAGCUUACUCGCUUAUGCUAUUUUACCUACGCUUAGGAUGUUGACAGCAGUAUAGACUGU